RNAcentral lists this long non-coding RNA (6102 nucleotides) under Equus caballus (horse). RNAcentral's name for it is "lncRNA (ENSECAG00000056548.1)". Lineage: Eukaryota; Metazoa; Chordata; Mammalia; Perissodactyla; Equidae. The record is from RNAcentral.
GCAAUUUUUUUGCAUAUUGUGAUUUUUAUUGAUUUAGGAAUAAGUUUCAUUUUUGCAACUACUUUUCCCUACCUAUACUUGUGCAGAGGAAAAUAGAAAGUGCUAUACUGCAACGACUAUUUAAUUAUAGCAGACUUAAAGGGUUGUAUGUUUUUUCUUUCUAUUCUCCAGAUUAUUGUUAUUUGUAUUUAAGAUAUUAAUAUCACUUCUGUUUUUUCCAUGUACUAGAGCCUAUGGUAAAACUAUGUGGCUCUAUUUAUGGUAUUUGCUGUACAGCCAUUAAUUAUUACCCCACUGCUGCAGGACAGUCAUUUAUUCAACAACUAUUUCUUAAAAUAAAAACUAUCACGACAACAGUCAAUUUUGCUAAAAGCUUCUUUUAAAAGUAUACACACACACAUACAACCUAAACACCUCUAACUGAGUAAAAGAAAGUAAACCAUGUCCAUAGUUCCACCAUAUUUAUUAUAGUACUCUCCACUGAAGCCUUAAAUCCACCACAAUUUAGAAAUGCUAAGCUACAUUUAGAAAAUUUGAAAAAAAUCUUUCCCUUCUUUUCAAAUAUGAAUUAUAGUUCCUCAGGAAGCCCAGACUAGCCAAAGGUUUGUAUAACCAUUCCACUUCAUUCUAUUCUUAGACUUCUGCAUCAAUCAGAAGUUAAUAAUAGAUAUAUUACACCCCCGGAAGUGGCAUCUUCCUUCUUUUCUUUCUUCACUAUUGCAUUCUACUUCCCUUUCUUAACAACAGCUGUAGAAAGAGGUUGCUGGAUAAUGAGGGCAAAGGCUUCCUUCCUGCCAGUAAUAGGGACUCUUACCUGGUUACCAUUUAGGGCAGUGAUUCUUAAAGUGUGGUCCCUGAGCAUGGGCCUUAGGAUCACCAGGGGCUUGUUAGAGAUACAAAUGUCUAAUUCUGAGGGUGGGGCCCAACAAAUCCGUACUUUAACAAGCCUCCAGGUGAUUGUGAAGCACACUAAGGUUCUAGGACCACUGACAUAGGGAAUAGUUACCAUGACAAUCACCCAUUAGAGAAUGCACAGAAAAUUCUACGCUAUCCUUGAAGAUCGUCCCCAAAUUAUUGGUUAAAUGCAGGAAAAAUUGAUGUAAUGAGGCACUGUGCAUUUGGACACAUUGCAAACAAGAUCAGGAGAAAGACCUGGGUUAGACAAAAGAAUGGAUAAGAUUAUCAAAGGAAGAUGUGUGAGAACAGAAGGGAGUAAAGCAAGGACCAAGACACCGUCCAUUUUUGAGAAACUGGUUGAGGAAGAGACUGAGAAGGAUUUCCGGAAAAACAAGAGAGAAACCAGGCAAGACAGGUGCCACAGGAGACAAGAGAGCAAAGAAUCUUUAAGAAGAAAAAAAGAGGUAUCAGUUUAGUUUAAGCUGAUUAAGUAGCAUAAAUCCUGGAUUUGGGAACUUUGAUAUAAGCAAUUUCAGAAGUUAAGAAGCCAGGUUCAGUAGAUGAAAAAUGAUAGAAAGUUUAACAACAUUUUUUAAAAAUUUCCUAAUGGAUAAUAAACUAAAUCAUUACAUAGGUUUCCCUCCCUGACCCUCAAUGUGCAUGUUCCAGAGAAAGGGUUUUGAAAAUUUUCUAUGUGAGGAGACACGUGCUCACGACCUCUCUCCUUUGAUCCUGGGGACAGACUGUGCAAGUUGUUACAGAUCGUUAGAGCCACUGUGCUGGAGUCUUCCACUCAUAACCUCUCCGCUCAUUGCAGGCCGUCUUAUCACAUUCACAGUGGGAGAUUGCAGCCUCCAAACUGCUAUUCUGACUCUGAUCUUCAUGUAAAAGAAUGUUCUUCGGGCAUCCCACUGGAUCUACUGUAAAACAUCAGUCACGCAUCCAUAGGAUGGACUCAAAGACCUUCCUGAUGAGUGGUGGUGUGAAAUAUACUAAGAAUAAAAGGAUGCUUCAUUUUUAUGCGCUAGAGAUUUAAAACCACAUUAUACUUUGAUGCUAUCACCAGCCUUUUUCUUUAUGAUAUCUGCUGUUAUGUGAAUUGAGGGUUUUUUGAAGUUAAUAACUGAAAUACCCUCAGGGCUGUAAUCUCAUCCGUUGGAAGGACCCUGAGCAAACUCUUCCGUGGUGUGCGGUCAAUGUACCAUCAAUUUGGCCUUUUCAGUUCCAUGUGAAGCAAUGGUUGAACAUUGUGGUUUCUUUUUGUAACUUAGCCUUCCCCCACAACAUUCUUGAAGUAGAAGCAACAGCAACGAUGUUCUAGUUCAUUUGUGUCAACUAAUUUAAAAAAACAAAUUAAGGAGAGUAAGUUCAGACAUUUUGGAUAUUACUUUAAAUGUUAACAAUCAUUGGCAGGUUUUGAAUCCUUUUCUCUGCUUUGUGAACUGAGAUUAUGAUGAGUAUGUUCAUUUCAAAAACUAAAAAUGGGCUUGCCAUUACUUACUUUAACAAGCUGAGCUUUAAAGUUAUGCAAAAUAAAAGAUCUAUUUAAAAUGAACUCUGUCCCAUAUUUUUUAGAUGGAAAUGUAAGAAUUUGGAUAUGAUCCUUAAGGGAAUUAUUUAAAAUUUUGUUUUGUAAGGAUUUCAUGUUAGACUUUAUAAGUCAGAAUUAGUAAGCAUAUAGGUCAAUAAGAAAUUAAGUUGGAACAUAUGCAAAGUCUGAUUAUGCUGUUUAUUAAGCCAUUCUGCAAUAACUGAUAUAUAUUAAAACCUAUAAACCUGGGCUUUAUGCUAACAGGUUGAAUCACACAAUGUUACAGAUCUUUUAUUAUUCUGCCUGCUCUUUUGGUAUGAAAUUCAAUUAAGACAUGAUUCUAAGGCUUCAUCAGAGCUUAGAAAAAUCCAGCAGUAGAUUUUCUACUCUUUUAGCAGUUAUAUUCACAAACUACAUACAUGUAUCUAAUUACAAUUUAAUAAGCCUUUCACCCAAGAGAGAAUUCUGUUCUCUGUAAAGCUUUUAUCCUUGCCCUACUUAUAAUGUCACUAUCAAGUUCUUUAUUCUGAAGGUUUAUUUUUUUCAAAGAUACAAUUAUAUGUUAUUUUCCUGCAUGUUACAAUUAUGCAGUUUUCUUUACAUGAAUAUUGCUUUCUGAGAGAAUGCUCUUUGAAAUAUUAGGGAAAAAAAUAACUAUAUCUAUAGAAAUAGGAAUAGUCUUCAUGAGCAAUAGAUUGGAAAAUAAGGCACAUUCAGCAUGAAUCGGAGUCUUUGUUGUUCACACUAGAUGACGGGUAAUUUUACAAAAAUAAGGCCAAGAAAAAUGAAAUAUGGGAUUUCAUAGUUUAUCAUAAGUCAAACACUUUAUACUGCCAAAAAUUCAGCAUAGUGUAGCCUCAAACCACACUCUAUGCUGUGGUUUGUGUGUGUGCACGUGUGUGUAUGUGUGUGUGUGUGUGUACAGUGCUAUGAUUUCUCAAGGUAGUCUGUCAUUACAAAUUUGAGAGACAAAGAUUUCCACUGGAAUUUGGUUGUCAAUCACGUUAUUUUAUAAAGAAAAAGACAUUUGGGGUCUUAGGUGAAGUGGUCUUUUGAUGCAUCUGUUCAGGCCUUAUCUCCUCCCCCCAUCUCCCACUUGCCACUUGUCUUGACUUUGUCUCCAGAUUCCUUUCCUUCUUCUGUUUUGUCCUUUUACUUCCCCUACUUCUUUCUCUAACCUUAAACUCCUCCAUGCACAAUCAUAAAGGAUUCCAAUUAUUAUUAUUCCUUUUUAAAAUUUAUCUCCAAAACAAUUAUCAUUGAUUAAGUGAUAAUUCACUACUCAAGGACAUUCAUAACUGUCAGUCAAGCCUCUCAUUUACUAUCCUGAGUCCAUGUCCUCUCCAGCACAAAACUUGGGCCCUUAACCUUGAUUCCAGCAAUGAAAAGCUGCGUGCAAUGUGCCCACCUUCUUGUAAAGUGGCCUGGCAGGCCCACUGGGAGAUUAGAUCACGUUCAUGAAUGUACACACACACAUUCAUGUGUUUAGAAAUGCAUGAGCAUGGGAAGGCUUGAGCCCAACUCAAGGGACAACAGAGAAGGAGAAGCUGCAGCUGGGAAAGAGGAGAUAAUUAUUGGACUAAACUCCAAAAGGAAUGCUUGAGAAGGAUCUGGAGCACAAGGAAAGGUUAGUCUUAGCAAGGAAAUGGAGUACUUUUCCUUUGAAACAGAAUAGGAGGAAUGAACCAAUAAAGAUAAGGUAAAUAGAAAGGGAGGUGAAAGAAAUCAUGUUAUAUAGCAUCUGUUUCUUGAUGAAACAGUGUGAAGUCAGGGGUGGGACUUCAAUCUUGAGAACAGCAGGAAAAAAGUCAUCUGACUCCAAUGCAUACUGUAUUAGUCAGGGUUCUGCAGAGAAACAGAACCAAUAGGAUGUGUAUAUAUAUAUAGAGAGAGAGAGAUUUAUUUUAAGGAAUUGACUCACAUGAUUCUGGAGGGUGAGUGCAAAAUCUGCAGGAUGGACUGACGGGCUGGAGAUCCAGGAGUAGCUGAUGUUGCAGUUCAAGCCGGAGGCCUUCAGCUGACAGAAUUCCUUCUUACUUGGAGGAGGUCAGUCUUUGUUCUGUUAUGGGCUUCAACUGAUUAGGUGAUGCCCACCACAUUAUGGAGGACAAAUGACUUUGCUCAGAGUCCACCAGUUUAAAUGUAAAUCUCAUCCACAAAAAACAUCCUCAUAGAAACAUCCAGUAUAAUGUCUGACCAAAUAUUUGGGCACUAUGGCCCAGUCAAGUUGACACGUAAAAUUAACCAUCAUACGUAUGUUCCCUUAGCUGCCUGACUGACUCCAAGUUCUUCAAGAAUCGGUUCUCCCAUCUUCUCCUCAGGAAGCCUUCCCAUAAACCCAUCCUCAAGGGGAAGUUUGCGUCCCUGAAGUAAAUUCCCAGACUGCCCUUCUCUAAUACCCCCCAUUAGAAUCUCAGUCCCUGAGCAUGGGCAUUUUUGUUCACAUCUGUAUCUCUAGCACGUAAAAUGUCACCAGCUGUAUUGCAGGCACUCAACAAAAAGUCAAUGAAUGAAUCAGGGAAUGAAUUGCAUUUAAUUUCUGUCAGUUUUACUAUACUGUGAACUCCUUGAAAGCAGGGACAGUCUGAAUUACCUUUUUAUACCCAACCCCUAGCACAAAUUAAGAGCUCUGUAAAUGCUUGCUGAAGGAAUAAAUGCAUAAGUGACUUACCAAAUGCUUACUAUGUAUCUUUGCUUAUCCCCGAUUACUACGAUUUCAUUCCAAAUGUUAAAAAAAAAAAAUUGUGAAGAAUUUACACAGGUUUGCAUUGCUGCCUGGCUGGAGAGAUUAUACUAGCAAUUAGAAUUAUAAAUCAGAAAAUUCUGGUGGUAGGAAUCUGACAUCAGCAGUUUUUAAAGUCCUGCAGGGGAUCCCAGUGGGUGGGAAUCCCCGUACUAGAUACAGUUACAGUGGGGGCGAUGUUAAGGAAGGUUAGAAACCUUGGGUAUCUCUAUGGAAGGCAGUGCCAUGUGGGGACACCAAGAAGAAGGCUUUGACUAGGCUCCAGAGGAGGAGUUAAGGACUCCUACAGAGGAGAGAGAAAUGCUGAAAAGCAAGCUAUGGUGUUUUGUAAACACUGAGUAUUUACCACAUACCAGGCACUAGCUAAGUGCCUUACACGCAUUGCCCCGGUCUUCAUAACAAAGUAUGUACUUCUUGCAAAGUAUACUAUGUUUUUUUUUUUUUUUUUUUACAGAUGAGGACAUUGAGGUUUAUGUAGUUUAAUUAAAUUCCUCAAUACCCCACAUCAAGUGAACAGAACAGUAAAAUUUCAAGCCUAUGAUUAUCUGGCUGUAAAGUUUAUGUUCUUUCCAACACAUUAGUCAUUCUCAACCCUAAUUGCACAAUAGAAGCACCCAAAUUGAUGCCCCACUUAAGAUCUGUUAUAUCAGAAUCUCUAGGUAAGAGGCUCAGGCGUCAGUAUUUUAUUUUAAAUCCCACUAGUGUUUCUAAAAUGCUGCCAGGGUUGAAAAUCACCACCAUAAACGUCACAGAUCUUUCUCCAUUUUGCCAACUCUCACACUGGGCUUCCGGGUUCUCUCAUCCAGGAAAAGAGACUUGACUCAAUCAAUUUAUGAAUGAUCUGCCUUAAAUUCAGAUAAGGGAGUCUGAACGGCCACACAAAUGCCAGGUAAUUCGAGGUGCUCUGGAUAGGUGUCCACUUUGAUGUUAG